GAAGGAGAAGGAGAAGGAGACAGAUCUGGAGGAGGGGGAGAAACAGAGAGAGAGAGAAAGAGGAAGGAGGACCAAAUUCCCCCCAAAACAAGUUUAUGUGGUUCCCUCCCAUGCUUGUGGAAGUUCAAAUGAGGAGAAAAUAUCCACAGCGUCAACAGAUGGCCUCUGAUUGUAAAUGGCAUGGAACAAAGACUUUUGAGAUGAAGAUAUACUCGGAUUCCUAAAUACUGGCCUUACAGUUUCAACACUCUUAAGAGGAACAGGGCCCACCAACACGUUAAGUCAACCAGGGCUAUUGAUCAGGACACAUUUACGUCUGCAAAGGCAAGCUAAUCCAGUUUAUACUGGAAUCCUGCAUAUAACAGCAUAAGAUCUGAAAGUCCUGUUCAAAGAAACCUGCAUCUUGGUAACCAUGGGAUCAGACUCCUGGAAAAAUAUUUUUUUCCAAAAAGAGAGAGAGAAACCCUUAACGGGUAGAAUGAGAAAGCAGAAAUUGCAGCAGAGACAAAGCAAAGAGAAAUGGACCAGGCAAUGUCAAAAGGCCAGUAUUUUCUCACUGAGUCACCGUACAUCUUGCGAGCGGUGAUGAACUGAAGCCUGCCAGCCUCUGAAGCGAUGACACUUAAGAUGAAGAAUUGUCACAUUCAAUAUGCAGCCUGACACUGGAUGAUGCUGAGGAGUUAUUGACUGCGAACGAGGCACCUGCAAGGGAGCCAAAGCAAGGCUGCAGCAAAGCAAUGGAAGGAAAGUGGACCAUCUCCAUGGAAGAAGAAGGUGCACAAAGGCCUUCAGGCAGACUCUCAGCUGGGACAACCCGGGCUAAAAACAUCGCAACUAACACAUGGCACUUCCAGAUUGGGCAAAAAUGUCACUGUAUUUGUUACUGCAAUUCUAAUUUUCAAUCUGUAUGUAUCCAAAGGACAUUUCUGUUGUUCCAGACCCUUUUCUGCCUAUUCACUGCCCUACGACAAUAUUUUAUUCCCACCUUCAGCUAUGUUUCAUCUACAGCAGAACCUCA
Non-coding RNA from Anolis sagrei ordinatus, 1018 nucleotides. The record is from RefSeq and is a predicted model, not a curated record. NCBI's taxonomy places the organism in Eukaryota, Metazoa, Chordata, Lepidosauria, Squamata, Anolidae.